Long non-coding RNA from Fukomys damarensis (Damara mole-rat), 2117 nucleotides. RefSeq lists it as uncharacterized. Lineage: Eukaryota; Metazoa; Chordata; Mammalia; Rodentia; Bathyergidae. The record is from RefSeq and is a predicted model, not a curated record. The transcript has 4 exons.
ACGCCGGAGCGCUAGGGGGCGCUCCGGGUUAGGAGGCGCUGAGGACGCAGCUCCCCGGCCAAGAAGUCUCCCCACGCGGGAGGCAGGGGCGCGACUCUGACAGCGCUGGGCCCGGAAGACCCCUCGGCCCAGCCCCACAUUUCCAGGGCUCUGCACCUGGACGGACUCGCUUCUCCACCCAAGCCGGAUUCUUUUCAACCCCCCAGCCCCUCUGAUUGCAAACUUGGGAAGCUCCAGCCCGGCCCUUGCUCAUCCCACCCACCAGUGCUGUGCCGGUGCCUGGAGCUUCCGGGCCCAUGUGGGCUGCCGCCCAAAGUGCACAUUCCUCCGGACAAAGCACGGCGCGGGCAAUUCAGAUAUAACGGACGCAAGGUGUCGUCUUCACCACUGAAUGGGUUAUCGCACUCAACCCCUUGAAAAGCGCUCCGAAAGAUCCCCUGCUGUUUACGAUCUGGAUUCUGCGGAGGAGGCCCGAGGUGCUCAGCUUCCCCCCAGAGGUAGUAAGAGCAAUGGAGACUGAAUCCAGAGCCUAAUGAAUGCUAUGCAAGCACCACUCCAUGGAGUUACAACCCUCACUCCCGAUUUUCAUUACGUUGUGUGCUACAGUUUGAAUCUUAACCCUCCCCAGCGGCUCAUGUGUUAAAGGCUUAGUUCCCAGCUUGGAGCUAUUGAAGAUUCCGGAUGAAGUCUUUUGCUGUUCAGAAAGGCACAAGGGGAAGAAUCAGUUUGUGGCUUGAGAUGUGCUGUGUCUUCAGGAAUAUCAUGCGAACUACUGAAAAGAUGAGACCAGCUCUCCAUGGACCCUACUGUGCCACGGCGGACAGGGACCCGAAGCUACAGUGCUAUGAGACACCGCCUUAGGGGAAUGGAAAGUUCUUGGCAGGACACGGUGACCAGAAGCAAGCCAUCAGGAACAUGAGGGGCAGGGUCACAGAAUGGACAGGUGACACCCUGUGCUAGCUCAAAAUGUGUCACAUUUCAGGUCCUGGCAGCCCACUCCGCACAGAACGGGGAAAGCUGCACCCUUCUGAGCUCAGAUGUGCAGUAUCUCCCGGGGCUCCUCUCCACGAGCCAUGUAGAAUAUACUCCAGGCCCAGGUUUUCGGGGACUGAGGAAGCCAGCAAAGUGCUUCCGGGGAGGAGGACAUGACAUAGACAAUAAAAUACUGCCUCUCGGCAGCUCCUCGGAGACUACGAGCCAUGCUCCCAUUCACCAUUUCCCCUCAGCCUGCUGCUUCUCCCCGGGGAAGUGAGUGGUAUUUCUUUCCUGAGGAAAUGGGAGGCCCAGAGACACUUGGCCCCUUUACCAGGGCCUGGUGCUGAUCCUUCUGCCCUUGGGAAGGAUGAUAAACUUCCUUGGGAACAUCUCAGCGUGGCAUCAUGGCUACGAGGCAGGGUCUGAACUGAGAGCUGGGGUUCCAAUCCCAGCUCUGUCACACGGUAGCUGAGUGGCUCCAGUCCGGCUACUCCACCUCAGUUUCCUCCUCAUGUGUCCAAUGGGAAUGACAGUCACCCCACUUGCUAGGCCGUCCUGAGGACUGACUGAAUUAGCACCUGCAGAGGGCUCAUGGGACACUGCUCACAACAGGCGCUUGGUAAAUGUCAGCCAAUAGCACUUCAUCCUGAGCACCAAGAUCAGGGUACAGCUGGGAGAUGUGGGCGAGGGGCUUCCCACCCCUUGGCUGGGUUCAGGUGCGAUCUCCCAAGCCUGUCCUCCAUGGCCGGCCGGCUCAUGCAACUCCCUCAGGAGCCGCCAUGGGCUGGGUGUUUGUGCCUCCACAGUUCCUAGGAUGAAAUCCUAAACCCCAGGACGGCAGCACUGGGAGGUGAUCCGAGUGGGCAGAGCUCUUUUGGAAGAGGCUGCUGUCUGUAUAACGAGACCCUGUGGGCUCUGCUCUGCCUCCUGCCCCGUGACGACUCAGCCACCCAGCAAGGAGAAAGUCGGCCCUCCCAGACCGCAAAUGGGCCAGUGGCCUUGGACUUGCACUUCCAGCCCCCAGAACGGUGAGGGACAAAUGUUCGUUGCUUAAGCACCCAGACAGGGGUACGUGUAUUUUUCAUAGAGGCCUGAGGAUCGUUCUGAGCCCCAGGACCCCCUGGGGAAGACCUACCCGAGUC